RNAcentral lists this ribosomal RNA (446 nucleotides) under uncultured bacterium. RNAcentral describes it as "partial 16S ribosomal RNA". It matches the Rfam family "Bacterial small subunit ribosomal RNA", at positions 338 to 795 of the family's 1533-position model. The record is from RNAcentral.
CCUACGGGCGGCAGCAGUCGAGAAUCAUUCACAAUGGGGGAAACUCUGAUGGUGCGACGCCGCGUGGGGGAAUGAAGGUCUUCGGAUUGUAAACCCCUGUCAUGUGGGAGCAAAUUAAAAAGAUAGUACCACAAGAGGAAGAGACGGCUAACUCUGUGCCAGCAGCCGCGGUAAUACAGAGGUCUCAAGCGUUGUUCGGAAUCACUGGGCGUAAAGCGUGCGUAGGCUGUUUCGUAAGUCGUGUGUGAAAGGCGCGGGCUCAACCCGCGGACGGCACAUGAUACUGCGAGACGAGAGUAGAGGAGGGGGAACCGGAAUUCUCGGUGUAGCAGUGAAAUGCGUAGAUAUCGGGAGGAACACUCGUGGCGAAGGCGGGUUCCUGGACAUUAACUGACGCUGAGGCACGAAGGCCAGGGGAGCGAAAGGGAUUAGAUACCCGAGUAGUC